Molecule: non-coding RNA, 2919 nt
Organism: Triticum urartu
Lineage: Eukaryota; Viridiplantae; Streptophyta; Magnoliopsida; Poales; Poaceae
Source: RefSeq, a predicted model, not a curated record
UCUUCCCCGCGCGACGCGAGACUCCAGGCGCUAGCCGCCAGGGUUCCUUCCGCCGCCACGCGCCCGCGCCUCAUCCCUCCGCUCUUGGCAAACACUCGUCACCAUGUUCCAUCCCUUUGCAGUCAUCAUCGUAGUCCCCCGCUGCUGCUCAAUAGCCUUGACGGAGCACCAUCCGCCGGCUCCCUGGAGCACGCCGCCCGUCGGUAGCCGCCAUGGAGCGCCGGUGGAUGCCCUGAUUGUCCGCGACCCUGCCGCGGCAACUCACGCCCUCGCCUCGCGCUGGUACGGAGACGAUGCUUACCGGCUUCGUGCAGGCCCUCCUCAUGGACAGCUCCCUGUUCUGCCUCUGCCACCUCCCGUGGCUGAGCAGAGCGAGGAUAGAACGAGUGAGGAGAUCGAGAGAAGAAAUAUUCAGUUGAUUUUGCAGGGCAUGGAGAUUGAUAUGAUUUGUUUUGUUGUCCGCAUGUUCGACGAUGAUGGCGCCCACACCUUUUCCUGUUGUUUGGGCAAAGGCCGGUCUGUUUGAUGUGCGAGUAAAACUUUAGACAUGUGACGGGCCAAAGGAGAUGUUUUGCAAAAUUUGUUUGGGGCUGAAGGAGAUCCUGAGCAAACCGAUGAAAGAGUGGUGGCUGCUGGAAGUUGGCUAGUGAUUGAUCAGCAGCUUCAUUGAGGAAAGCCAAACAAGUGGCUGGAGAUGUAUUUUGUAGGACUUGAUAUUUACAGUUUCGGGAGCAGCAGUGUUGCUUGCAUCUUUUUUCUGCAUCUAUGAUCUGAUGAUGCUUUAUUUGGUGUUGUUAACCAUGGCACUACAUUAGGGCUUUGUUGAUGAUGAUUUCUGCUGAUUUGCAUAGUCGAGUUCUUUUUUCACUUCCAGAGUAAGUUUAGUGCAAGUAAAACGUCAGUUUCACUCUGGCUAAACCGCUCACUGUUGUUUAUGCUCCUGUGGCAGCAGAGGAAUAGACCCGGCAAGGAAGGGAGCUACACCAGCAUAGUCGGUGGAUUUAACCGGGAAAAUGAAUCCUGAAAUUUCUGGUUGGACCAAGAGGCCGGUGAUUGGGGCAGGGCUGCAACUCCUAACAGGGCACCAUGCCCUACAAGGGUACAAGUGGCUCACGACUUGAUGGCAUGGUUGGGGCUGGAAUGACGAAGAAGAUUAAUGGGGUGGAUGAUGAGCAUGCUACAACCUGAAUGACAAACAAAAACAUUUAGAUUGGGACACAGAAGAGAGAUGAGGAGGAAGAAAGCAUGAACAAUUCAAGUGAAAGAGAGAAAGAACAUGGACACCCCAAGUCUCUCGGAUUGAUAUGAACAGCUCAGGUCCUCCUGCCAUGGUGCCUGACCCUGAGUUUGCCAACCCCACAUCUAAGUUCCCUGCCAGUUGUGGUGACAAUCUAAUGGGAAUAAGUGCCAGGGACGAGGAGAUGUGGAGACUUGAGGUAACUGCUAUAGCGGUGGUAGGAUCUUGUAUGGAGAAUAGCAGGAGUAAUGUUUGAAUCCUACUAUAGGCAGUGCCUUGCUAUGAAUGGCUGCGACAACGGGCGGGUAUUGGAGUUCAUUGUGGUAUGCACGAUGGAUGUGUGGUCCGUGGAGUGAAGAUCCAUCUAGCAUGAAUUUUUUCGUUCUUCUGUUGGCAAGUAAUCCUAAGACUUUUUUUCCGGGUGAAUACUAAAACUAAUUACCCUACACAAUUCACAGUUUUUAUAUUCUUAUGGCACCUAAGUAUAUCUGUAAUUGAAAAAAUGUUCAGAAUUUACUGUAUGAAGGGCGCAUAUAAAUGUUAUUCAGUUUUAUUUGUAGAGAUGCUUGCUGGUAUUUCGUAUUCAUUUCAAGAUUUUAGUAGGGUAUAUGCCUAUAAUUCUUGCUCUCCAUGCUUGCUGAAAUUUUAGUAGCACUCAAUAACACGCCAUGUUUGGCGCACAUGUUCAUGACGUGAAGUAGGUUGUUAUUCUGUAGCAUCCCAAAGUGUAUUGGGCAUCACAACAAUAUGUAUCCCGUUGCAGUGCAUGGGCUUAAAAAUAAUUCUUCAACUUUUUGUUAGUGUCAAAUUGAAUUAUUAGAACAACAAUUGAAUAUAUGUUAUUUAGGCUAACAUACCAAAUUAUUUAGGCUUCCUGUAAUUAUUUGUUUUCAGGAAACAACAUGUGCCAAUGCAACAUAUUCUGUUGUGUCUAUAACUACCUCGCUGUUUUGAACAAUAGACAUCAAAGCUCUCGGAUAUAUGUUUCUUUCUACAACCUGCUUGAACCUAUGAAAGACACUUUGUAGCCUAAUCACAAGAGAUUUAAAAAUACUGUUGCUGACCUAUGAAAGACACUUUGUAGCCUAAUCCAUCUCAAAGAUAUGCCAUCUAUCUAUUGGUAAAAUCUAUGCAUUACUUGUACGUAUGCAUUAAUAAUCAUGUUUUUUUUUUGUUUAUUUAUGCACCAGUUUGAUUUUUUGCUAGAGGAGUCUUGGUCGCUCUAGAAGCUUUGGCGGCCAAGACAGAGACAUAGUCGGGAGCGGGGCUAAGGACGGUGGCCCCCUCCCUCCCCGUUGGGCUCAGGGAAAUCCUAUGAGGUGACGACAGGGUGAGUUCUACUUCAAGCACACCCAUGACAGCUAGCUAUGCGGCGAAGGUUGACAAGGAGGUGGAGUUCGGAAGCACACGUUCGACCAUUACAACCCAGUGCAUGUGUCCCCGUACCUGGUGGCACGGCAACCAGGUGAAUACCCCUCAUGAGAUGCGCGCGAUCGGACGAAGAGGAAACGUAUCAACAUGAAUAUGUUGCAAGGGGUAUGCGAGGAUUUGUUUCUCCCGUUGCAACACACGGCCCUUUUGCUAGUCUAAUUAAUGUAUGUACUAGCAGGUCUCGUCUGAUCGAGCACCUCGGUACAUAUGUAACAUCUCAAUUUUCAAUUUGGAUGUUAUACAUAGGUCAU